This 253-nucleotide ribosomal RNA is filed under the name uncultured bacterium. Its description in RNAcentral is "partial 16S ribosomal RNA". It matches the Rfam family "Bacterial small subunit ribosomal RNA", at positions 524 to 776 of the family's 1533-position model. The record is from RNAcentral.
UACGUAGGGUGCGAGCGUUGUCCGGAAUUACUGGGCGUAAAGAGCUCGUAGGUGGUUUGUCGCGUUGUCCGUGAAAACUCACAACUCAAUUGUGGGCGUGCGGGCGCUACGGGCAGACUGGAGUACUGCAGGGGAGACUGGAAUUCCUGGUGUAGCGGUGGAAUGCGCAGAUAUCAGGAGGAACACCGGUGGCGAAGGCGGGUCUCUGGGCAGUAACUGACGCUGAGGAGCGAAAGCGUGGGGAGCGAACAGG